This 246-nucleotide ribosomal RNA is filed under the name uncultured bacterium. RNAcentral describes it as "partial 16S ribosomal RNA". It matches the Rfam family "Bacterial small subunit ribosomal RNA", at positions 527 to 772 of the family's 1533-position model. The record is from RNAcentral.
GUAGGUGGCAAGCGUUGUCCGGAUUUACUGGGUGUAAAGGGCGUGCAGCCGGGACUGCAAGUCAGAUGUGAAAUCCGCGGGCUUAACCCGCGAACUGCAUUUGAAACUGCGGAUCUUGAGUACCGGAGAGGUUAUCGGAAUUCCUUGUGUAGCGGUGAAAUGCGUAGAUAUAAGGAAGAACACCAGUGGCGAAGGCGGAUAACUGGACGGCAACUGACGGUGAGGCGCGAAAGCGUGGGGAGCAAA